CACAUGUUCCUUUAGGAAUUUGGAGAUCCUUGUGCACUUCACAUGUCAGUCACAUUCUUGUGACCCAUGUGUUCAGGACACAUGUAGAGAUCGGCUCCCAUCUCUUUUCAAGAGAAGUAAAGUAAUCCAUUCAUUCAAGGGAAUAGUUUGACAUUUAGGAAAAUACGCUCAUGCACUUUUUUUGCUGGGAAUUAGAUGAGCAGAUCAAUACCACUCUCAUAUUUGUCUGUUAAAUGUGAGGCUUGACUGGCUUUGAGUAUCUGAUGAUCUUGGCUGCCCACUGUGCCGCCACUUUGGUCGUCAUCUCUGCAAUCCCGAUGCAGCAUUGUCGGAGCUGCAUGGUGUUCUGGGCACUGGCAUUGGACCAGAUAUCCUGAAGGUGCGCUCGUAGUGGCUGGGAAUUUUGGCAAGGCAAACCUACCUUACUUCUAUCAACACAUUAUGUGUCCCAUCAGAGGGGUAGAACCAUUGUUAUUCUCCACUCACGGGGUGUUACAGGGCUAAGACUUUCCCACCAUCCAGCAAGUGAGAUCAUGCUGCUACUUCCUCGUAACAGAAUGUGUAAAAAGGAUGAUAUAGGAAGUUGUGGUGGCAGGAGAGGUCAAGUGUUGGACUGUCCUAUUGGAGGCUAUGCUGCAGAACACGUUGAGUAACAUCAGGAAGUAUUCCAGACCAACUCUGACAACAUCAAAUCUACAGGUUGAUGGAUCCAACUGUGCUGUUUUAGUGGGCUGUGCAGCUGCUUGCAGAUGUGGAGGAAUAUAAGGCGGCGACAGGCUGAGGCAUGUGGUCAGAGUUGCUGAGUGGACUCUAUUCUAGUUAUUAUUAUUAUUGUACACUUAAGCUUUUAAUACAUCCUGUGGAGUAUGCCACCCCUGCAUUUCACUACAUAUAUUAAGAAAUAUGAAUAUGUGACAAAUAAAUCUUUGUACUGUACUUGGGCAUGUCCAGUUGGCACACUGUGUAUGUUAAUACUAACAUAAACCGUGAGGCCAAGUACACAUGGUUGAGACAUUAAAGUUUAUGAGAACAACCAAGACAUCAAACUUUGCGCACCAUUCAAAUGAUGCUGAAUAGUGUAUGACAUCUGGUGGUAGACACACUGGUAAUGGGAGAAACAGCUGGCCUCCUCGGUUUUUAUGUACCCUAGUGUCUUGCUAAGAAUAAUGUGUUAAAAAACAUCUUUUAAGCAGCAGACCUUUGUGAUCGAAGAGGUGAGAAGAGAAUUGCCAGACUUAUCCUACAGUAGGUCACAAACUACAACUGUUAACACCCACGGUGCAAUAAAUCUCCAUGCUGCUGGAGUGAGACGGAAUCCAAAGGGUAAUGGUGUGAUCUGCAAGAAUAACAUGGUUAAAGCAAAAUGAUGGUUAAAUGUUUAAUGGCUGAUUUCUUGAUUCAUUGUUUAUUACUGUAACAAAGUAAUUAAAAGCACAGUUUAGGUGCUUGUAUCAUUCUUUCAUAUUAUGUAAUGGUCCUUGAGGGAGAGGAUGUUAUUCCAGGUGGUCUGCCAAUGCGCCAGAAAAUUACUGCAUCAACCAUGAAUCUAGGAAGACCCUAUGAUCAUUAAUGGAGUGAACAUGACUUUGCUUUUCCUGUCCUCUUGUCCUCCUUUCACCUCUCUUCUCUUCCUCCUUUCAUAUCUGCUCUUACUAACUUUUCUUUUCUUUUCCGUCUUGUCCUCUUUUGCCCUUUCCUUUCUUAUCCUGUCCUCGCCUCACCUUCUUUCCCUCCUCUUGGCUUAACUCCCACAAAUGGUUAACCGACUUGCCCCUCUUUCCCCACUCUCCCAAAUCUCUCUCACAGGCUAGAAAUUUUGGAUCCAAACGCAACUCUUUGAGCCAACAGUGGGGACAUGACCCCAGUGUUAAUUUCUUUGUUGAUGGUGAUGUCCUUUAUUGAUGUGGCUUUCAAGCAGUGUCAUCACAGCGGGCAAUCAAUUCACCUGAACUGACCCUGAAAAGUACACAAACAACUGCAAUGGGAGAACACUCGGAUCUCUGACGUAGAAAUGAUGCAUUCAGACAAUAAGUUUAUACAUGAUUUGUUGUUGCAUAUUGCCUGCUCUUGCUGAAACACUCCAUUGAGAAAUACAGUAAAUUAAGCACAAGAACUGAGUCAUGUUUUGGUUGAAUAUUCACUUUCAUUGAUGUUCAGGACAUUGUGAUGUGAGAGUAAAGUGUAUUGUGCUGGCUGGUGAACUGUGACUGUCCUCUGCUGGAAUAUAAGAUGGGUGCGACUAAUUGUUGACAACAUUCGCUAUAUAGUUCACAGUAAAUUAAACUACUAAAUAAUUUAACACUUACGGAUCAACAUUAUUUUGAGCCAUCACUAACAGGUGUUGUGUCACAUAACUGUGAUUUUCACAUCUAUAAAUGUGUUGCAUUGCGAAAUUGUGGGAAUUUUUAUGAGCACUAGACCAUACAAUUCACAU
Long non-coding RNA from Thunnus maccoyii (southern bluefin tuna), 2434 nucleotides. RefSeq lists it as uncharacterized. The transcript has 3 exons. The record is from RefSeq and is a predicted model, not a curated record. NCBI's taxonomy places the organism in Eukaryota, Metazoa, Chordata, Actinopteri, Scombriformes, Scombridae.